UUGGCUGGUUCCCACGCAGGCGCGAUUUAUGCAAAAGAAGCCCAUUUUUCCACGCUGAUUUGCUUUUGUCCAACACAUCUGCGGAGUGUGUACGGUGGACAGGCCCUCGGGAGGUGAUCUUGUGAACACUUGCUGAGGAUCCUUGAUGCCGAGUGCAGGAUGUUUCCUACCAGUUUGAAGCCAUGUCUGAAGGGUUCCGAGGUGGAAUGUUCUGCGCUGGCCGAUGGCGGCGUCGGGGGGGGGGGGCACUGCACCGCAUGCCCAUGGUGACGAGGAAACAGCUGACGCAGGCAACAACGGCAUAGACCAACAUCUGAAGGAUGACAGUGGAAAAAGUUUGGACACCCCUGCCAUAUGGUCUCCACAUCAAAGGUCCAUUUCCCUACGAAGACCAUGCAUCCUGCCCAUCAACCAAUGGCCUCAGCAGCCAAGUUUGAUCACUCUAUGGAGGCUGUACACCCCUCCCAUCCCCACACCGCUGGCCCAUCACCAAAUGUCCACACCUAUGGUCCUUCACCCGGCGUACACAAUAGCUUGCUACCUGAAUCCACCUGAGAAUAAAAAGGCAGCUUUCCUGGCACCAGACAGGAGAGAUGCAGGCAACCCAUCUAUUGAGGACACUAUCUGUUAUCAACCACAGGCAGAAAAAUCAUGGACGCCAUGUGAUGGAAAAAAUGUGGGCAGAAAAAGAAGGAAUUGAAGAAGUCCUCUUGAAAAUAGAUCCGGUCCAAGUCAGAGUACUUCAAACUCUCUGCGACUUAGUUGGAGACAAAUACAGCGACGGCCCUCCUCAACAAUCGGGCCAGCAAGAGCUCUUUCCUGAGAGCGGCGUAUUCAUAUCAUUGUUCCGCCUUGCUGCCAUGAGACAUGCUGCAGAGCCCAAAUGUAGGCCUUUAUUUGGACCUCUUUUUUCUACGUGUCAAAAUGCUGUCCCUUUUUGACGCCCUGGAAACAAACCUGCAGGAACACCAAAGCGCAUCCUUAAGCGGAAAAAAGUGGAAGGAAUCCUUAGUAAGUUUUCCCAAACAGAGGGUGUUUUCAGGCCAAAAUUGGGUCACAAUAAUGAAAUAGAAGUUCAAUAUGAGAAAUGUUGAUCCCUUUUCGAUUACAGCAGACUGGAAGCAUAACUGAAUGUUACAUCAUUACAAUUUGUUAUCCACUCCAAACUAGCGUUAUGAUGAGCAAUAUAGUCUGAUGUCCAUCAACUUGAAGUGUGGUUGUGUGUAUUAAUGGUUUUGCGUAAAUGAAGGCUUUAAAGGGCAAUAAAAAAGCAUUAAAUGAGGCAUUUAAAAAAGGGAAUAUGAUUGUAGGACAUGGCGGACAGUCAAUAUGUCAAACGGUAAAGGAAAAUGAACUUAAGAAGGUUACAGUCGUUUCUUUUUUGAACUGCAUACAAGAGGUAUUGUAAGGUGGGAACACGACAAAAGCACUGCUUCAAUCAAGCAAAAUGAAACAUCAACUUUUCCAUUCUUUGGUCACUGUAGGCGUGUAGUCCUUAACUGUGACACCAUGUCAGGAUAAUGGAGAAGCUGAGCCGACACGGAGUCGUUUAUUUCAAU
Long non-coding RNA from Nerophis ophidion (straightnose pipefish), 1559 nucleotides. RefSeq lists it as uncharacterized. Lineage: Eukaryota; Metazoa; Chordata; Actinopteri; Syngnathiformes; Syngnathidae. The transcript is spliced from 5 exons. The record is from RefSeq and is a predicted model, not a curated record.